This 65-nucleotide transfer RNA is filed under the name Platisus angusticollis. RNAcentral's name for it is "tRNA-Ile". Lineage: Eukaryota; Metazoa; Arthropoda; Insecta; Coleoptera; Cucujidae. The record is from RNAcentral.
AAUGAAAUGCCUGAUAAAAGGAUUAUUUUGAUAGAAUAAAUCAUGUACUUAGAAUACUUUCAUUA